This 385-nucleotide ribosomal RNA is filed under the name uncultured bacterium. RNAcentral's name for it is "bacterial SSU rRNA". It matches the Rfam family "Bacterial small subunit ribosomal RNA", at positions 29 to 417 of the family's 1533-position model. The record is from RNAcentral.
AUUGAACGCUGGCGGAAUGCUUUACACAUGCAAGUCGAACGGCAGCACGGGGGCAACCCUGGUGGCGAGUGGCGAACGGGUGAGUAAUACAUCGGAACGUGCCCAAUCGUGGGGGAUAACGUAGCGAAAGCUACGCUAAUACCGCAUACGAUCUACGGAUGAAAGCGGGGGAUCGCAAGACCUCGCGCGAAUGGAGCGGCCGAUGGCAGAUUAGGUAGUUGGUGGGGUAAAGGCUCACCAAGCCGACGAUCUGUAGCUGGUCUGAGAGGACGACCAGCCACACUGGGACUGAGACACGGCCCAGACUCCUACGGGAGCAGCAGUGGGAAUUUUGGACAAUGGGCGCAAGCCUGAUCCAGCCAUUCCGCGUGCAGGAUGAAGGCCU